AAAAUCCGUGAUUUUUUAAAUCAUGAGGGGUCAGUCCUUCUAUCCCCA
This 48-nucleotide transfer RNA is filed under the name Cyperus kyllingiella. RNAcentral describes it as "partial transfer RNA-Leu". The record is from RNAcentral. Lineage: Eukaryota; Viridiplantae; Streptophyta; Magnoliopsida; Poales; Cyperaceae.